GCCCGGAUGGCGAAACUGGUAGACGCAUCGGACUUAAAAUCCGCCGGGGGUAACCCCAUGCCGGUUCGAUUCCGGCUCCGGGCACCA
This 87-nucleotide transfer RNA is filed under the name Stenotrophomonas sp. ESTM1D_MKCIP4_1. RNAcentral's name for it is "tRNA-Leu". It matches the Rfam family "tRNA". From Rfam's summary of the family: Transfer RNA (tRNA) molecules are approximately 80 nucleotides in length. Their secondary structure includes four short double-helical elements and three loops (D, anti-codon, and T loops). Further hydrogen bonds mediate the characteristic L-shaped molecular structure. tRNAs have two regions of fundamental functional importance: the anti-codon, which is responsible for specific mRNA codon recognition, and the 3' end, to which the tRNAs corresponding amino acid is attached (by aminoacyl-tRNA synthetases). tRNAs cope with the degeneracy of the genetic code in two manners: having more than one tRNA (with a specific anti-codon) for a particular amino acid; and 'wobble' base-pairing, i.e. permitting non-standard base-pairing at the 3rd anti-codon position. Lineage: Bacteria; Pseudomonadati; Pseudomonadota; Gammaproteobacteria; Lysobacterales; Lysobacteraceae. The record is from RNAcentral.